GUGAGGUCGAUCUGCGACAUCAGUCUCCCCAUUGAUCGCAAGGGUUGAUUUGACUGAUUUGGCUGGCUAGGCCGCUCCAUGUGCAUCCUCGGUGGAAGAGGACGACCAUCCCAGAUAAAAGGAGUGUACCGUUCUUGGGUCAAGGGUGUACGAUAGCUGCGCUCCCCUGCCAGAACCUCCAAACAAGCUCGAGAACUUGCUUGCAUUAAGCAAGGACGAGGACGUAGCAAUUAAAAAG
Podarcis lilfordi (Lilford's wall lizard) is the source of this 238-nucleotide non-coding RNA. Lineage: Eukaryota; Metazoa; Chordata; Lepidosauria; Squamata; Lacertidae. The record is from the annotation of a GenBank genome assembly.